GACGAACGCUGGCGGCGUGCUUAACACAUGCAAGUCGAACGGAAAGGCCCUGCUUUUGUGGGGUGCUCGAGUGGCGAACGGGUGAGUAACACGUGAGUAACCUGCCCUUGACUUUGGGAUAACUUCAGGAAACUGGGGCUAAUACCGGAUAGGAGCUCCUGCUGCAUGGUGGGGGUUGGAAAGUUUCGGCGGUUGGGGAUGGACUCGCGGCUUAUCAGCUUGUUGGUGGGGUAGGGGCUUACGAAGGCUUUGACGGGUAGCCGGCCUGAGAGGGUGACCGGGCACAUGGGUACUGAGAUACGGCCCAGACUCCUACGUGAGGCAGCAGUGGGGAAUAUUGCGCAAUGGGCGGAAGCCUGAUGCAGCAACGCCGCGUGCGGGAUGACGGCCUUCGGGUUGUAAACCGCUUUCGCCUGUGACGAAGCGUGAGUGACGGUAAUGGGUAAAGAAGCACCGGCUAACUACGUG
RNAcentral lists this ribosomal RNA (468 nucleotides) under uncultured bacterium. Its description in RNAcentral is "partial 16S ribosomal RNA". It matches the Rfam family "Bacterial small subunit ribosomal RNA", at positions 28 to 507 of the family's 1533-position model. The record is from RNAcentral.